Magnolia sinica is the source of this 766-nucleotide RNA transcript. It is a transcript of the gene named DET1- and DDB1-associated protein 1-like, with no coding region annotated. The transcript is spliced from 5 exons. The record is from RefSeq and is a predicted model, not a curated record. Lineage: Eukaryota; Viridiplantae; Streptophyta; Magnoliopsida; Magnoliales; Magnoliaceae.
UUUCACAAGUACAUCACGGGUGGGCCCCACAUUGAACGGUUGUGAUCAUUCCCCGCGAAAAAUUGCGAGGGGGCAAAAGGUAAAAAGCAGGAAGGUAUGGGCAAUUUACAGGCAUGCAGAAGACGGAGAAAAUGGGAGGAGGAGAAGAAGAAUGAAACCCUUCUCCUCUAUUUAUAACUUCUCUUUCCAAAGCAGCAUCAGAAGCAGAAGCAGAAGCAGAAGCAGCAGCUGAUUUUCAUGGGUUCUCUGCUCGGCAACUGGCCUUCCUACGAUCCCCAUAAUUUCAGCCAAUUACGGCCGUCGGAUCCUGCUCAUCCUUCCAAAAUAACACCUGCCACCUAUCAUCCUACGCAUAAUCGGACUGUUCCACCACCUAAUCAAGUAAUUUCGACAGAGGCAACAAAUAUUCUCUUGAGACAGUUCUAUCAGCGGGCCGAAGAGAAGUUGAGACCAAAGAGAGCUGCCUCGGAGCUUUUGAUACCAGAGCACGGAUGCAAGCAGCCGAGGGGUUCUUUUGCCGAUGUUUCCAACUGAGCCUCAUUGAUUUGAAAGACCGGGCUUUCUACAUUCUGUGUAUCCACUCCCGCCUGACGAAGUCUUGGGUCCUGCAGGAUUCUGUUGGUGGGACCAUGAUUUGGUAUCCAGACUGUUGAUUUGAUGGCCCCCCUCUGCCUGUUGGACUGCAGAUCUUGCAACAUUCAGGUACUUAUUUCAUGGUUUCUUCCCAAACUGCCCUUGGUAGGUCAUAAACUUGCAGAUUAUUUUA